CAACUUUGCUAUCUUAGAACGGAUCACCAGUGAAAGAGGGGAAGUUGCUACUGUGAUGAAUUCUGCCAUGUGGUACCAGACUGCUGCCCAGACCACAGUGUCCUCUGCAACCCUGCUUCUCAGAUGACCAAGAUGGUGCUGCCGAUGGUGUUGAGGACGGAGAACCCACCAAGCCCCGUUAGGAGCCACCUAGACUGGAUGCAGAGCACAGCUAAAACCUUUGAAGAGGAAUUUAUUAUAUCCUACAAACCUGGGAGGCAGAGGUUGCAGUGAGCCAAGUUCGGUCCAUUGCACUCCAGCCUGGGCAACAAGAAUGAAACUCUGUCUCAAAAAAACAAAAGUUGGCUAGGGCCAGGUGUGGUGGCUCACACCUGUAAUCCCAGCACUUUGGGAGGCUAAAGCAGGCGGAUCACCUGAGGUCAGAAGUACAGGACCAUCCUGGCUAAUAUGGUGAAACCCCAUCUCUACUAAAAAUACAAAAAAAAAAAAAAAAAAAAAAAUUAGCCAAGCAUGGUGGUGAGCGCCUGUUAUCCCAGCAGCUCAGGAAGCUGAGGCAGCAGAAUCGCCUGAUCCCAGAGGCAGAGGUUGCAGUGAACUGGGAUUGUGCCACUACACUCCAGCCUAGGCAACAGAGCAAGACUCUGUCUCAAAAAUAAAUACAUAAAUAAAGUUUUAGAGCAGGAAUGAAAGGAAGUAAAGUACACUUGGAAGAGCCGUGUUGGCCACUGGAGAGAUCCGAGUGCCCCAUCUGACCCUUGACUUGGGAUUAAUACAUUGGCAUGAGAUGUGAGCAGUGA
Molecule: long non-coding RNA, 797 nt
Filed under: Pongo abelii (Sumatran orangutan)
Lineage: Eukaryota; Metazoa; Chordata; Mammalia; Primates; Hominidae
Description: lincRNA
Source: RNAcentral